CCAAUAGCGUAUAUUAAAGUUGUUGCAGUUAAAAAGCUCGUAGUUGAAUUUCGGGGUCAGCAGGUUGGUCGUGCCACUGGUAUGCACUGGCUUCGCUGAUUCCUCCUUUCCGAAGAACUGUAAUGUCAUUAAUUUGGUGUUGCAGGGAAACAGGACUGUUACUUUGAAAAAAUUAGAGUGUUUAAAGCAGGCUAACGCUUGAAUACAUUAGCAUGGAAUAAUGAAAUAGGACGUUCGAUCCUAUUUUGUUGGUUUCUAGGAUUGACGUAAUGAUUAAUAGGGAUAGUUGGGGGCAUUAGUAUUCAAUUGUCAGAGGUGAAAUUCUUGGAUUUAUUGAAGACUAACUACUGCGAAAGCAUUUGCCAAGGAUGAUUUCAUUAAUCAAGAACGAAAGUUAGGGGAUCGAAGACGAUCAGAUACCGUCGUAGUCUUAACCAUAAACUAUGCCGACUAGGGAUCGGAUGAUGUUAAUUUUUUAAUGACUCAUUCGGCGCCUUACG
This 500-nucleotide ribosomal RNA is filed under the name uncultured Glomeromycotina. RNAcentral describes it as "partial small subunit ribosomal RNA". It matches the Rfam family "Eukaryotic small subunit ribosomal RNA", at positions 591 to 1092 of the family's 1831-position model. Lineage: Eukaryota; Fungi; Glomeromycota. The record is from RNAcentral.